This 2514-nucleotide long non-coding RNA is filed under the name Coffea arabica (coffee). Its description in RNAcentral is "long non-coding RNA (CARA_LNC005449)". The record is from RNAcentral. Lineage: Eukaryota; Viridiplantae; Streptophyta; Magnoliopsida; Gentianales; Rubiaceae.
CCAAUUCAAGCUUAUAAUUUACAUUAAUAGAAAUCGAAGUACGAAGUCUCAAUACACCAAACUAGAUCAAAACGAAUACAAUCCAAAUACAACAUGUUCCAUCCGAGGAAUAGCGUGAGUACAAGUCAAAAUCAAAUAGCUAGUCUAUGCUAGACUUUACAUAUCUCACACCUCGCUCGUACCCCUGAAAGGAAAACAAAUGGAGUGGAAUGAGCUAAAAGCCCAGUGAGGUUCCAAAUAGCAAAUUGACCAUUAUUUAUAAGUACGAGUUUUCGAUAUAGCAAAGUAACGAGCAUAAAGUGUUCAUAAAUGUGAACAGUAACACGUCAAGUAGCAAUCUUAAAAUGAGCGAAUGUAGAAAAUUUUUCAAAAGAAACAAUAAUCCAAUAAACAAUAAUUACUCCAAAGUAUAAGGAUACGGAUGACUCUCAGGAGCCAAAUUCCCAUUACAUUACCAGAAGCUUGAUUCCGUAGUAGUUGACACUCCGUCAACUUUCAAGUAAGUAACCAAUCCAGUAGAACACCACUUAAACGACUCUCCGUCCACCGUUCAACCCCCAGCUGGGCCCAAAAUCCUCAAGAACACGGGUGGUAAUACUCGAGUAUACCGAUUAGUCGAGGAGAUAUCACUCCACUCGACAAUACAAGAGACCCAGGGUUCGUUACCCAAUCGACCAAGCCCUUGCCGGCUCGACUAGAGUAACUCGCCACAGGGUUUCUGGAAUUCCAGGAAGUGCGCGCAUCAUAAACAAGGAUAUCAAGUCAAUUGCAACAAUAAACAAGUAUAUCACGUAAGGGCAAGUGCGAUAAAGUACACUCUUGCCCUUACAAUUCACGUAUAUAACAUGUAAUCAGAUUGGUCACGUAUCAAGUUCAAGUAUCAAGUUCAAUUCGGUAUUUGAAAGCACUCACCCAAAAGAUAUAGUGCUACUGGUCACUUUCAGGUUAUACUCCGAGUUCGGAGUCCAAAUCUGCGAUAAAACUCAAUUUGAGAACUUUGAAACAUGACUAGAGUUCGAAACUUAGACGUUUCGUUCAAUAAGAAUCAAGAAAUUGAAAUUCACUUGGAGAAUACUCGUGAGAUACUCGCUCACUUUUUAAAUGAUAAAACUUUUUAACAUUUAUACUUGAAAUGGUCAUGCGAGUCGAAAGUACAAGGGAAAACGUACUUUGAGCAAUCAUUAUUUCAUUUCUCAAGGGUACAAGUUCGGCCAAGUCCUUACUUAUAUACCUCGGAACACGCAGACUCAAGUACCCUAGAUGGUUCAAGCAGUAAUCACUCUUAACCCAUACUCGAGUUGCAAGUAGUUCUCUAGUCUUCGAGCGUAAAUUUGGGCAGCAUGCCCUUUGUGUUUACCUAAUUUUCCAGCCAUUUAGGCUUCAUUAUUUUUCUUCAACACCACCCAACAUCAUACAUAUCAGCAAUUUAUGUCAAGAGCCAUUCCAUAGGCUCACAAUAUCAUAAUAGUAAGAUUCACAUCAAUAGCAAGUGCAGAAAUUCCAUAUAGCCAAAAGACAGAUUUGACGUAUAAAAGCGGAAAUAACUUAUCUGAGGCUACGCUUAUCGGAUUAAGACGAAACCUAUGGCGUUUCGAAGCUAAGACUCAGGGCUACAAUGUUCAUGAAUAUCACUAAGUCCAGUUUCUAAUGUAACUUGGUCAAAUUCGCCAAUUACUAAACCAGAAACCAAUUCAUCGGCUGUUUAAACGUAUUAUGCUGUAGCGGACCUAACUCAGUGUACACAAGUCCGAAUCAGGUUUUCUUUGAGGCAUUUUAAAGCUACUUCAGAACAAUACAACUUUCAUGUUUCGGCCCAGAGCUAAAUCAGAAUGGAUCCUGGUCAAAAAUCGUGAUAAACUGGACUGAACUGAAGAAACGGACUGCUGGGAAAUUCUUAAAACAGUAGGGGUAUUUUGGACUUUUCACGUUCUGCGUUGCUCCGAUUGAGUUGAAAUUUUGUAGGAACCUAUAAAAUACCAUUCUCUACAACUUUUAUUCUUUAACCUAAGGCCAAAACAGCCUCUAACAUAUAGAUAAAAAUUCGGACAGAAUGUUGGGACCAUAUUCCAGAUUUUGGAAAUUUUGAGUUUCUAGUGAAUCUUUCCUUAAUUUCUUGGUCCAAUCACUACCAAAACACCAUAUCACACCUCAAUUGCAACAUAUAAACAUCAUACAACCAUUUGGGCAGAAUUUCCAUAAGCCCUAGUGCAUCAAAUAAAUUGGGGAAAACUACUAAAACAUGCUCAUCAUCCAUAAUCUCACCAUAAAAUCAAGUUACUAGGCUUAAUUUAACAAGAUUAGAAGUAAAACUUGGAGAGAUAAACUCUCUUACCUUGAAUAGAGAUCACAAAGAGUAGCCCAAGCUUCCUCCUUCCAAAGCUUACCACAAAUCACCACCUAGUCACUUAGGAACAAGUUUAAUCGGUUUACUUUGUUUAUUUUCUCACUAAAUUGUUGGAUUUGAAGAUGAAAUGAAGAAAUUUCCCUUGGUGUUUUCUUCCCUCUCCCUCUCGG